Molecule: long non-coding RNA, 870 nt
Organism: Ornithodoros turicata
Lineage: Eukaryota; Metazoa; Arthropoda; Arachnida; Ixodida; Argasidae
Exons: 3
Source: RefSeq, a predicted model, not a curated record
UAUACGUUGGGGCUGUGGCGAUUCAUUCAACUCGAUUUUUACCGGAACAACAGGCGCUGCUCGAAAGACAACGACGGAAAAUAGAGAGCCGCUAUAAAGUCCGCUAAUUUGCACAUUACAGCACUACAAAGCGAUAUAUGAACACAUCGUAAACAGCAACCACUCGCUCACACACACAAGAAACGAGGUACCCAACGUUGCUAGACACCAUCCGAACUCCGAAGUGAGAGUAGCAAAACAACAAGAUAUCAAAACACGAAAGGAAGAGUAUUGAUCCCCCCUCCUUCUAUAGCAUGCAAAACGUGAUUUGCGCUGAGAUGAACAUAUAUGUUCAUGACGCGAGUAAUUUUCACUUUUCACUGAUCCAAAGGAGGUCACGUGGGAUUGCUCGACGCUUGCGAAAUCAACAAUGAAAAUGGCGAAACGAAACUUGUGAAUCGUGCAUUUGCUCUUCAUGGUAGCUGCCAAAAAAUCGAAUCAAACUUAUGGGACACUGGAUUACAGGUUGCUGCCACUACUCCAUGUGCCCGCAAUUGUCUUGCGUGUAUGAUUACACUAACGGCGUCGCCCACCACGGCGGAAGUGUUUUGCGUACACGCGUUUCAGCAUGAAGCCUGCAGGUGGACGUAAAUUGUAGAAGGCAGCUAGUGGGGGAGAAGAUCAUGGUCAUAGGUCAUGUGACUCCUGGAGCUCCCAGUGGGCUCCCUUGGUGAGUACUUUUCAGAACACACACACAUACAGUUUGCUCACAGAACCAACGAGUAGGAUGUUGCUUGAAUACUGAGAGAAAAUGGCGUAACACAUACAAAUAUCGUGUGACACAUAUGACAAUAAAAACAUUUUUCACGAGGGAUGCAUGAAACACUGUCG